GAUGAAGAACGCAGCGAAAUGCGAUACGUAAUGUGAAUUGCAAAUUCAGUGAAUCAUCGAGUCUUUGAACGCACAUUGCGCCCCCUGGUAUUCCGGGGGGCAUGCCUGUCCGAGCGUCAUUGCUGCCCUCAAGCACGGCUUGUGUGUUGGGCCCCGUCCUCCGAUCCCGGGGGACGGGCCCGAAAGGCAGCGGCGGCACCGCGUCCGGUCCUCGAGCGUAUGGGGCUUUGUCACCCGCUCCGUAGGCCCGGCCGGCGCUUGCCGAUCAACCCGAAUUUUUAUCCAGGUUGACCUCGGAUCAGGUAGGGAUACCCGCUGAACUUAAGCAUAUCAAUAAGCGGAGGA
RNAcentral lists this unclassified non-coding RNA (345 nucleotides) under soil metagenome. RNAcentral's name for it is "partial contains 5.8S ribosomal RNA, internal transcribed spacer 2, and large subunit ribosomal RNA". The stretch from base 1 to 119 matches the Rfam family "5.8S ribosomal RNA", at positions 35 to 154 of the family's 154-position model. The record is from RNAcentral.